ACAAUAAAUCUUGUGUGGUAUCCUAACUGUAAUAUCUUAAGAGUAAUAUUAAGUUACAAGAAUGCUUAUCUGUAAGCUAUAUCAGUUACUUAGCUGCGAAGAAUAAUAGUUAAUUUCCUUAUACUGUUUCUCAAGUUAGCUGCUAAUAAUGGAUGUUCCAGAAGGAGGCGCUAUUACAUUGAGUUCUGAAUCAGAGUAUGUUCAGCUGACCGGAUGUUGACUCUAGUUAAGAGAGACCGAAGAAGUUGUUGCUAGCGAGGGACAUGUGAAAGUAACUAAUGAUGAUGUAAU
Molecule: long non-coding RNA, 291 nt
Organism: Sander lucioperca (pikeperch)
Lineage: Eukaryota; Metazoa; Chordata; Actinopteri; Perciformes; Percidae
Exons: 3
Source: RefSeq, a predicted model, not a curated record